RNAcentral lists this long non-coding RNA (1287 nucleotides) under Homo sapiens (human). RNAcentral describes it as "HSALNT0094496". Lineage: Eukaryota; Metazoa; Chordata; Mammalia; Primates; Hominidae. The record is from RNAcentral.
GUGUUAUCAGCUUUACAAAUUAACACCAUGCUAGUUUGAUCCUGCUAGAAGUACAGGAAGGCAGAAAUGGAGGAUUAGGAGAAUUACUCAUCUUUUGGAUGAACAGUUUCCAAAUCCCAUUUGGCACAUCACUCUAGACUGGUAAAGGGGAGGCUGACACUGAGGCCACAGACCCAACUGGCUCUAGGACAUCACGUUGUUCAGUCCUUUGCUUAUCUAAUCAUUUGUGUUCUUACCCAGUGCUCACUAGGUCACCCACAUAGCCACUUCCCCUCCCAGCAAAAGUUCCCAGUUUAGGCACCUGUCUGGGAUCAUCCAGUAUCCAAGCUUAGGGGUGAAGGGAGGGAGCAGAGAACUAGUCUCAACUGGUUCGUUGGUAUAUAGGUCUCUUCUCAAUGUUCCUAAAGUGCAUGCAGUGGCAUCCCCCUCAAGGCCUGGCUCCAUGAUUCUGAGAGGACUAGAAUCAGGACAGUCAGAUCUGUGGUCACAUCCUGCCCAAUUCCAGCUCUGAGGUCCAUCAAACCAUCUGCUUCUCCCUUGGCAAGAAGCUCCCUCUGUCUGACUGGCAGCAGGGUCAGUGGCCAUCCUUUUCUACCUUCAGCUGUUGUGCAUCUCCUCCACGUUUUCCUGGAGUAAAGGAACAAGCAGGUUCUUAUCCAAAUACCCAACCUGUGAAGAUGAGACGGCCCUUGGGAAGAGGUAUUAGCCAAGUUUUCAGUAUGAUGCCCGGCAGAAAGAAUUUGUUGUCUUUGUCUUAAGCUUAUUAUCCUCCCAGGUCAUAGGAAGAUCUAAAGUCCAAUCAGUCUCCUUACUCAGAAUUCACAGCUUUCCCCUCAAACUUAAAAUGCCCAUGUCAUUUCACGAGUACCCAUAACUACCCAUCGUUUAGAUACAUGUCCUCCCUUGGUCUAGAAAUCUGCAGCAGUUCCUACUUAAACUGAUGGAUGCUUUGGGCUUUGGAGGUAUCUCAUCCCUAUGCCUGUUGCCCUGAAGCUGCCGGAAGGAAAGGCCCCACUCAACUACUGGGAAGAAAGCCCAUAAUUCAAGGCUUUUAAUACAGUCACUACACAAGCUCUCCCUCUGAUUUAGGAGAUCUUGUUACCUCCUCAUCUACAUGUGCUUAAAAACAAAAAGAAACCUAUAAUUAUUCAAUUCACCUGUGGUCCAAAUAAGUCUCACAUCCAGCCAUUCCCCUGAGAGGGCAGGAGGCCAGACUUUGAACUUUCCACAGCUGGGUCUUCAUUUUACUAGUGAGAUAAAGAGGUGCAGAUUAGGGUGACAGUCCAU